CCGCGGUAAUACCUAGGACCCGAGCGUUGUCCGGAUUUACUGGGCGUAAAGGGCGCGUAGGCGGUCCAUCAAGUCUUGUGUGAAAUCUCUUGGCUUAACUGAGAGGCGCCACGGGAAACUGAUGGACUUGAGGAUAGCAGAGGAAAGCGGAAUUCACGGAGUAGUGGUGAAAUGCGUAAAUACCGUGAGGAACACCAGUGGCGAAGGCGGCUUUCUGGGCUAUUCCUGACGCUAAGGCGCGAAAGCGUGGGUAGCGAACCGG
RNAcentral lists this ribosomal RNA (262 nucleotides) under uncultured bacterium. RNAcentral's name for it is "partial 16S ribosomal RNA". It matches the Rfam family "Bacterial small subunit ribosomal RNA", at positions 515 to 776 of the family's 1533-position model. The record is from RNAcentral.